GAUGAACGCUAGCGGCAGGCCUAAUACAUGCAAGUCGAACGGUAGCACAGAGAGCUUGCUCUCGGGUGACGAGUGGCGGACGGGUGAGUAAUGUCUGGGAAACUGCCCGAUGGAGGGGGAUAACUACUGGAAACGGUAGCUAAUACCGCAUAACAUCGCAAGGCCAAAGUGGGGGACCUUCGGGCCUCACACCAUCGGAUGUGCCCAGAUGGGAUUAGCUAGUAGGUGGGGUAAUGGCUCACCUAGGCGACGAGCCCUAGCUGGUCUGAGAGGGUGACCGGCCACACUGGAACUGAGACACGGUCAGACUCCUACGGGAGGCAGCAGUGGGGAAUAUUGCACAAUGGGAGCAAGCCUGAUGCAGCCAUGCCGCGUGUAUGAAGAAGGCCUUCGGGUUGUAAAGUACUUUCAGCGGGGAGGAAGGCGGUGAAGUUAAUAACUUCACCGAUUGACGUUACCCGCAGAAGAAGCACCGGCUAACUCCGUGCCAGCAGCCGCGGUAA
RNAcentral lists this ribosomal RNA (503 nucleotides) under uncultured bacterium. RNAcentral's name for it is "partial 16S ribosomal RNA". It matches the Rfam family "Bacterial small subunit ribosomal RNA", at positions 28 to 523 of the family's 1533-position model. The record is from RNAcentral.